UCGAUGCGCAACGCUCUCCAAAGGUGCCGGGUGAGGAGCGCGAACACCGCCGCGAAUGCUAGCGCGAAACGCCAAGUUGGCUUAAUAGCGCAGUUAAGCUGCCUAACUCGCCUCUCAUUACCAUUUAUCGUGUUUUCGCAAGCGCAAGCGCAAGGAAUUGGAAUACGGCCUCAUCAAGUUCGCGCUCGUGAGUUGUCCGACACUAAUUUGCUGCUGGUAACACGGACCAACGCGAGGAACCCCCGAUGGAAUACCGGAUCGAGCGAAGCACUUCCGACAGCGGGCAAGCAAAAAUUGUCCGUCUCCAGACACCGGGUGUUCGGACCUCGGAAUUCAAACUGCUUAUUCGGGAACGGGUGCCAGCUAUUCGUGCGGCCAGCGAUCCUGCAAAUCGGCCCGACGUCGCGCCCCAUUC
RNAcentral lists this unclassified non-coding RNA (415 nucleotides) under plant metagenome. RNAcentral's name for it is "partial contains 5.8S ribosomal RNA, internal transcribed spacer 2, and large subunit ribosomal RNA". The record is from RNAcentral.